RNAcentral lists this small RNA (753 nucleotides) under Pongo abelii (Sumatran orangutan). Its description in RNAcentral is "processed transcript". The record is from RNAcentral. Lineage: Eukaryota; Metazoa; Chordata; Mammalia; Primates; Hominidae.
UUCAAAUGCAAAUUUCCUUAUUAAGAACGUGAAACUCAAAGAUCAAUGGCUUUUCAAAAGCAGCACACCAAACUGUCAAAGUGGUGAUCCCUCUUCAUUUGACAUGCUCACAAAGAGGAGAAUAAGACAAGAAAACAAGCUAACCCAGAAACAGUGAGAUGACAGUGCGCCUCAAACACAGGAAAAUAAAAUGCAUAACUAUACUGAUUGGAUGCUGCUCAAAAUCAGCCUACAUGCCAUCUUUGGUACGUGUGAACAAAGUUAUCAAUUCCUAUUCUAACUAUGAUAUACUCAAAACUGUACAAUCAGUAAUGGGAUGCUCUAAAGACAAAAAUAACUGCAAACCCUUUUUAAAAAAUUAUUUUCAGUAAUAGUGUUACUUUUUAGUAUUAAGAUUCUAAGAAUACCCUGUGGACAAUGUGGAAGAAACCAAAUGAAUACUUAUGUGAAUGUGAUAUUCUCAAAUUAUCAUCCCUGGUAUUCCAGAGUAACAAGAUUCUUGGUGGUGACAAUAAGAUAGAAGAAGUUAAAUAAAAACCUUGUAGUCUUUAAUUGAAAUAAAACUAUACAUUUAAAACUUUAAUUUAAAUAAAAUUAUGAUUGUUACAUCUUUUAAAUAGAAAAAAAAGGGCCUAGAAACAAUGAUCAAUGCAACAGCAAAUAAGAAUCCCUAGAACCUAAAUACCAUUUUUUUUGCUAGACUCAGCCAAUUUUUCAAGAAACCCUAUUUCCUUCUAAUGUUUCCUUCAAUGA